RNAcentral lists this long non-coding RNA (638 nucleotides) under Homo sapiens (human). RNAcentral's name for it is "RIPOR3 antisense RNA 1 (RIPOR3-AS1)". The record is from RNAcentral. Lineage: Eukaryota; Metazoa; Chordata; Mammalia; Primates; Hominidae.
CAAAGGCAUCUGAGUGGUAAGAGCAUCCGGAGCCCAGGACUGCUGAGUCAACCCUCUGGAAUGCCCACAACUCCCCACAGGCCAGCCGGCCUUGGGACUCCCGCACAGCCACGUGAGCCGGUGGAGCCGGGUCUGUUUGCUAGUGGAGGCUGUUAACAGCACGGGAAGUGGUCAAGGGUUCAACAAGAGAUGAGCCAUCUGGUCCUCCAGAGGUGGAGGAGGCACGUGACCCACAUGGUCUGGCCACUGAUGACUGAACAAGCUAUGGACACCGGACCCCGGAGAGACCAUUCACUCACUGGCCACGAACAUGAGUUCAGAUACAUGCCCCAAAAGGAUGAGCCUGGGUACUGGAUUCCCUCCCUCAGAAACGUGAAUCAAGAGACACAGGAUGUUCCUGUUGGUCCAGAUACUUGAGCUAAAAGGUGAUGGAUACCUGGAUGUGGGGUGGUCAUUCUGGGGAGUACGUCCAUAUAGAAAGAGGAGCAGGUGCUGUGGGAUUCUGGAUCCCAGUGAUAGAGCUAAGUGGCUGGAUCAAGCUUCACCUGAAACCCACUCUACUUGUCUUAGUCCAUUUUGUGUUGCUAUAAAAGAAUACCUGCAACUGGGUAAUGUAUAAAGAAAAGAGACUUAUUUCA